This 484-nucleotide ribosomal RNA is filed under the name uncultured bacterium. RNAcentral describes it as "partial 16S ribosomal RNA". It matches the Rfam family "Bacterial small subunit ribosomal RNA", at positions 46 to 523 of the family's 1533-position model. The record is from RNAcentral.
GCUUAACACAUGCAAGUCGAGCGGUAACAUGACUAGUAGCAAUACUAGUUGAUGACGAGCGGCGGACGGGUGAGUAACACGUAGGAACUUGCCCAGUAGUGGGGGACAACCAAGGGAAACUUUGGCUAAUACCGCAUAUUCUCGAGAGAGGAAAGCUGCCGCAAGGUGGCGCUAUUGGAGAGGCCUGCGUCCGAUUAGCUAGUUGGUAGGGUAAAAGCCUACCAAGGCGAGGAUCGGUAACUGGUCUGAGAGGACGACCAGUCACACUGGGACUGAGACACGGCCCAGACUCCUACGGGAGGCAGCAGUGGGGAAUCUUGGACAAUGGGGGCAACCCUGAUCCAGCGAUGCCGCGUGAGUGAAGAAGGCCUUCGGGUCGUAAAGCUCUUUAGGCUGGGAAGAAGGUUGGUAGUUUAAGAGAUAAUCAAUUUGACUGUACCAGCAGAAUAAGCACCGGCAAACUCUGUGCCAGCAGCCGCCGUAA